Pogoniulus pusillus (Red-fronted tinkerbird) is the source of this 224-nucleotide long non-coding RNA. RefSeq lists it as uncharacterized. The record is from RefSeq and is a predicted model, not a curated record. NCBI's taxonomy places the organism in Eukaryota, Metazoa, Chordata, Aves, Piciformes, Lybiidae. The transcript is spliced from 2 exons.
UACUAGCAAUCAUCAUCAUCUUCUUUCCGGCUGCUGUUUGCUUUACUAUGUGGCCAUAACCCACAAGGAGGACAAAAUUAUUGCCAUCAAAUCUGGGAUGCUGCAAGACACCCAGAACACCUUCCCUUGGAUGAUCAGUAUGCAACCACAGCCUCAAGUUCGCAAGGCAAAGAGAUGUCCAGGUGCCAAAUCCACAAAAGAAGACUGUGAGCAGUGUCACAGCA